Gallus gallus (chicken) is the source of this 716-nucleotide long non-coding RNA. RefSeq lists it as uncharacterized. Lineage: Eukaryota; Metazoa; Chordata; Aves; Galliformes; Phasianidae. The record is from RefSeq and is a predicted model, not a curated record. The transcript is spliced from 3 exons.
AAGCAAGAAGUAUACAGAAUCAAAGCACCCUGAAAAGUUUAUGAAAUAGAGAUGACAUUGGAAGUACAGAUUGAAGGAUGGGCUAGGAGGAAGCAGACAAUCCAAAUGUGCAAAGAGAAAAAGAAAGGAUAAACUGAACGCUGAAGGUUAUUGCAGGGAUGACUGGUGAUGGUGUAGAGUGAUCAGAUUUUUUUCUCUUUUCCAGCCAGAAGUCAUUGUACUCGUUUUGGAAAAGGUAUUUAAAAGAUUGAGACUGAUCAUCAGUAAUUAAUGCUGCUGAAGGUAGACAUGUACAGCUUUGAACUCACCUUGAUUUUUUUACACUGGGACAUAUAUACUACAGGAAAGAUUAAAUAAAUCCUUUGUGUUGGACUGAGAUGUAACCAUCAAGAACAAAACAAAUGAUGAACUAAUCCCCCCAGUACAUUUGUUUAUUUUUCCUUCCUGUUGGCUACAUGCAGUUUGAACUGCAUACAUACACUUCUUAAUGAGAGUAAUAAAGAGAUAAUAUGGACAAUAUGUAUACUAUAUAAAAAGACUCACAGUAUUCCUGUGUCUGGCUUAAAUUAGUGAGUGGUUUAAGAAUAUAAAAUAAUUCAUUGUGUAUAACUUCAACUCCUCCCAAACACUGUUAUUUAAAAUGUAGUAGCAUAAUGAACCCUUUUAAACUUAGAACUCCCUUUGUGGUCCCUUAAGGCUGUGCUUUCUACCUGUCA